GACGGACCAACAUCCACAGAGGAAGCAUUGAGAGAUUAAUUAUUCAGAUGCAAUGCUAUUAUGAAUGUAUGUAGAGACUGCAAAGACAAUGUAAUGUGAUUGUUUCUUAGCGAGGGUACUUAGGAGAGAUACUUUCAUCAGACAGUCAGUUCUCCGGCUGCCAGCUUUACAUUUCUGGAUAUGAAACACAGGAAGGAUUUAAAACGAUUUCCUCAGAAUGAAGAGCGCCUCAUUGGCGAAUUUCUGAUGGUCGGGGAUGGUGGAGAAAACAGAAAGCACCAGACAGCUCAAUACCAGAAGAAAACUGAAACACAAACACACACAAACUAACAGAUCAAAAUACAAUAGACAACUAAGGAAGCAACAACAACAUUAAAAGAAACAAAUCAACAAACACAAACAUUUCACAGUGAUGCAGUGAGACCGGCCAAAAUUAAACACAAACAAGUGACAACAUGUACUGAAUGAUCUUGGCCCCAACUGAAUGACUCGGGUGCCACGGCACUGACAACCCAUAAUCCAAGCUGGCACAUGGCUCAUACACACAGAUGCUCUUAAUCACUGCUGUCACAGACCCUCUCAGAAUACCCAGCAUGCCCUAUCAAAAAUGGAGUGGGUAACAGCAGAGAUUAAAACCUCACUUCCUGCCAGUUCUAGGAAGAACGCAAACUCCGGGAAAAGCGGCUCUUUUGCAAGAACCAGGCUCUGUGAACCGCUCCAGGUGUUACCAGCAGCUGAAGGCUUGCAAAACAAAAGCUGAAUUCGGCAUGGCCAUCCACAUGCAAGCAGCUGCUGCCUGGUACAAAGCCAAAUCCCAAGAGGACCCGACCUAACACAUCUGGCCUGCUGACUCGUACCAUCCUUCAAAUGCGAAACUGUAUGUCUGCGCUUUGCUAAGUACACAAGGAGAGAAUGAGAUGGGUCAGCUGCAGUGGUUGGUGUAAUGUGAAGGUUUGCAACUGUGUGUCUGUUCUGGGCUGUUAGGAGAUUAACAAAAGAUAAACAAAAUCUUGCUGUUUAAUGGAACCCUAAAAAAUAACUGAAAUACAACUACUGAAAGUCUUUCUCAUAAUCCAUUAUUGAUGCAAACGUGGGAAAGAUGCAGCAGAAACUCAACACCAUACUCAAGACUAAUGAUCAACUGUAAGAGAUUCCUUUUGAAAUAAUAUUUACAAUAAGUUCUCAGAAAAGAGUAAGAAGACAUAGAUAGAGGCAUUACUGUAAAAGUUACAUGGUUGCCUUAAAAAUCUGAGUUAAUUCAACGUAAAAAUAUUAGUUAACACCAAAAAGUUGUGUAAAAAUGUCAACUAAUAUCUUUCAAGUUCAAUUAACUCAAAAUUUUAAGGCAACCAGGUAUCUUACUUUUUUAACAGACUGAGAAAAUAUUUAAACAUUUGUCAGCAAGUGAGUCAUUGAUAAUUCACGCUUUUGUAAGUUGACAUAAAACCGGACCAGGAAAAAUCAAAAGCAUUAUUUGGAGGCAUUUUACAAAUAUAUUUUCAUUUCCGUUACAAUUCCCAUUUGCUCUGCACAUUACCCAGUUUAACCAAAUUUUACAAAGUUCAGCUGGAGUUAAAAGUUUUCUAAAAACCCAUUCAAACAUGUUAUUGUGAGCUGCACAUUGUUUUAAAGUCAUAAAGAAACAAAAAUGUGUAAAGCAAAAAGUGCAGAUACAGCAUUAAUAUGAAGAUAAAUGUGCAUUAUAGAUCCAUUAUCAUUGAAAUGUGCUCUAAAACAUAUUCUUUCUGCUAAAUACCAUUUGAGGAAACAUGAGACGACUAAUAGGUUAUUUCAUCCCUGCAUGUUUUUCACAUUAGUUUUAUCCUUUCUGCUGAGUGUGACUGAUUAGCGCAAAGUAAUUCACAGGUAAAAUGAUCUAUCACCAAACAACAGAAAAAAACAAGCAAGAAAAAAAAUAAACGAAUCCAGAAGCACUGCAAGCCCCAGAUCUGAAUCAUCAACAAUCUUACUGGAUGGACAAAGGACGAAAAUGAACAGAAACUGCUUAGCUACCUCAACACCCUUCCAUCAAAAAAACGAUUAAUGCCACAAAAAUAGAUACAUUACGCACAGACCACGUGCGCCGGGUAGCAUUUCAGCUGAGAGGCGAGUUUUGAACCCAACCUCCAAGCCCAAAAGUCAAUCAGAAAGAAAAAAAACAGAAAUCAAAUCCUUAAAUCAGCAGAAAAGAUGGUCUCUUGAGGUCAAAACAAUGUAGUUCCACGACUGCAGUUUUUUUUCCCAUAACCGAGUGCUUGAUCUUAACUGUAAAUCAUGUCAAUAUUUUGCUCUGAUGGAUUGCUUUUGUUGGCAGGGUCCAAGUAAAAAUUUAAAAUUUGGAUUUCAGGGAAGCUUAUUACAAAAAUAACUGUACAAACAACAAAUGAACCCUGUAAAUGUCAGAACAAGAAAGCAGUCACACAUUCAAC
Paramisgurnus dabryanus is the source of this 2429-nucleotide long non-coding RNA. RefSeq lists it as uncharacterized. The record is from RefSeq and is a predicted model, not a curated record. NCBI's taxonomy places the organism in Eukaryota, Metazoa, Chordata, Actinopteri, Cypriniformes, Cobitidae.